Molecule: ribosomal RNA, 91 nt
Filed under: Notechis scutatus (mainland tiger snake)
Lineage: Eukaryota; Metazoa; Chordata; Lepidosauria; Squamata; Elapidae
Source: RNAcentral
CUCAGCAACUUUAGACAAUCUCAAAAUUUAAGUAGAGUUAACCAUGAUGAAUACUUUGAUAGGAAACUACCUGGGAAUUCUAGGGCUGUAA